AGUGAACGCUGGCGGUAGGCCUAACACAUGCAAGUCGAACGGCAGCACAGUAAGAGCUUGCUCUUACGGGUGGCGAGUGGCGGAUGGGUGAGGAAUACAUCGGAAUCUACUUUUUCGUGGGGGAUAACGUAGGGAAACUUACGCUAAUACCGCAUAUGACCUACGGGUGAAAGCAGGGGAUCUUCGGACCUUUCGCGAUUGAAUGAGCCGAUGUCGGAUUAGCUAGUUGGCGGGGUAAAGGCCCACCAAGGCGACGAUCCGUAGCCGGUCUGAGAGGAUGAUCGGCCACACUGGAACUGAGACACGGUCCAGACUCCUACGGGAGGCAGCAGUGGGGAAUAUUGGACAAUGGGCGCAAGCCUGAUCCAGCCAUACCGCGUGGGUGAAGAAGGCCUUCGGGUUGUAAAGCCCUUUUGUUGGGAAAGAAAAGCAGCAGGUUAAUACCCCGCUGUUCUGACGGUACCCAAAGAAUAAGCACCGGCUAACUUCGUG
Molecule: ribosomal RNA, 492 nt
Filed under: uncultured bacterium
Lineage: Bacteria
Description: partial 16S ribosomal RNA
Rfam family: Bacterial small subunit ribosomal RNA
Source: RNAcentral